AGUGAACGCUGGCGGUAGGCCUAACACAUGCAAGUCGAACGGCAGCACAGGAGAGCUUGCUCUCUGGGUGGCGAGUGGCGGACGGGUGAGGAAUACAUCGGAAUCUGCCCAGUCGUGGGGGAUAACGUAGGGAAACUUACGCUAAUGCCGCAUACGACCUUCGGGUGAAAGAGGGGGAUCGCAAGACCUCUCGCGAUUGGAUGAGCCGAUGUCGGAUUAGCUAGUUGGCGGGGUAAUGGCCCACCAAGGCGACGAUCCGUAGCUGGUCUGAGAGGAUGAUCAGCCACACUGGAACUGAGACACGGUCCAGACUCCUACGGGAGGCAGCAGUGGGGAAUAUUGGACAAUGGGCGCAAGCCUGAUCCAGCCAUACCGCGUGGGUGAAGAAGGCCUUCGGGUUGUAAAGCCCUUUUGUUGGGAAAGAAAUCUUUCAGGCUAAUACCCUGGGAGGAUGACGGUACCCAAAGAAUAAGCACCGGCUAACUUCGUG
RNAcentral lists this ribosomal RNA (490 nucleotides) under uncultured bacterium. RNAcentral's name for it is "partial 16S ribosomal RNA". It matches the Rfam family "Bacterial small subunit ribosomal RNA", at positions 29 to 507 of the family's 1533-position model. The record is from RNAcentral.